This 497-nucleotide ribosomal RNA is filed under the name uncultured bacterium. RNAcentral's name for it is "partial 16S ribosomal RNA". It matches the Rfam family "Bacterial small subunit ribosomal RNA", at positions 28 to 507 of the family's 1533-position model. The record is from RNAcentral.
GAUGAACGCUGGCGGCGUGCCUAAUACAUGCAAGUCGAGCGAACGGACGAGAAGCUUGCUUCUCUGAUGUUAGCGGCGGACGGGUGAGUAACACGUGGAUAACCUACCUAUAAGACUGGGAUAACUUCGGGAAACCGGAGCUAAUACCGGAUAAUAUUUUGAACCGCAUGGUUCAAAAGUGAAAGACGGUCUUGCUGUCACUUAUAGAUGGAUCCCCGCUGCAUUAGCUAGUUGGUAAGGUAGCGGCUUACCAAGGCAACGAUGCAUAGCCGACCUGAGAGGGUGAUCGGCCACACUGGAACUGAGACACGGUCCAGACUCCUACGGGAGGCAGCAGUAGGGAAUCUUCCGCAAUGGGCGAAAGCCUGACGGAGCAACGCCGCGUGAGUGAUGAAGGUCUUCGGAUCGUAAAACUCUGUUAUUAGGGAAGAACAUAUGUGUAAGUAACUGUGCACAUCUUGACGGUACCUAAUCAGAAAGCCACGGCUAACUACGUG